RNAcentral lists this small nucleolar RNA (138 nucleotides) under Ornithorhynchus anatinus (platypus). Lineage: Eukaryota; Metazoa; Chordata; Mammalia; Monotremata; Ornithorhynchidae. The record is from RNAcentral.
CCCCUCUCAGAGUCACACCUGGAGAGUUUCCAGUAGUCUACCCGACUUGGCUACAAGAGGGAGAGUCAGGCAGAGGCCUACCCAUUCCAUUUCUAGCUUGGGCAGUGGCUAGCGAGUGGAAGGCAAUCUGCUACAAGU